This 444-nucleotide ribosomal RNA is filed under the name uncultured bacterium. RNAcentral's name for it is "partial 16S ribosomal RNA". It matches the Rfam family "Bacterial small subunit ribosomal RNA", at positions 339 to 795 of the family's 1533-position model. The record is from RNAcentral.
CUACGGGGCGCUGCAGUGGGGAAUAUUGCACAAUGGGCGCAAGCCUGAUGCAGCAACGCCGCGUGAGGGAUGAAGGCCUUCGGGUUGUAAACCUCUUUUAGCAGGGAAGAAGCGAAAGUGACGGUACCUGCAGAAAAAGCACCGGCUAACUACGUGCCAGCAGCCGCGGUAAUACGUAGGGUGCAAGCGUUGUCCGGAAUUAUUGGGCGUAAAGAGCUCGUAGGCGGUUUGUCACGUCCGCUGUGAAAAUCCAAGGCUCAACCUUGGACUUGCAGUGGGUACGGGCAGGCUAGAGUGCGGUAGGGGAGAUGGGAAUUCCUGGUGUAGCGGUGGAAUGCGCAGAUAUCAGGAGGAACACCAAUGGCGAAGGCACAUCUCUGGGCCGUUACUGACGCUGAGGAGCGAAAGCGUGGGGAGCGAACAGGAUUAGAUACCCUAGUAGUC